GGGGCCGUGGCUCAGCGGGAGAGCAUUUGCUCGGCACGCCGAAGGUCUUGGCUUCAAUCCCAGGUAUUUCCA
Molecule: transfer RNA, 72 nt
Filed under: Sphaerodactylus townsendi
Lineage: Eukaryota; Metazoa; Chordata; Lepidosauria; Squamata; Sphaerodactylidae
Description: tRNA-Ala
Source: RNAcentral